Long non-coding RNA from Salvia splendens (bonfire salvia), 653 nucleotides. RefSeq lists it as uncharacterized. The record is from RefSeq and is a predicted model, not a curated record. The transcript is spliced from 4 exons. NCBI's taxonomy places the organism in Eukaryota, Viridiplantae, Streptophyta, Magnoliopsida, Lamiales, Lamiaceae.
UUAUUCAAUUGGGCUACUUUUAAUAUAGCCAUUAUUUCCUUAAUUCAAUUUUUUUCAGCAGAGAUUUUCUUCCUCCCCUCAACUCACGUUGAAACCGCCCCACUCUUCUCACCCCUAAAUCUCUCCCGUAUCUUUAACAACCAUUCCUCUAUAUUACUCCCAACACCAGCUCAUAUAUUCAAAAUCGGAGGAAAGUAACAUAGAGAAAUCUUCUACGUUCCAAUUGCUCGAUCAAACUAAAGUUUGAGGAUAAAAAAAUACAAAACUGCCGUGAAUUCAAUUCCUUCUGCUGCUAGGCAAUUUCUCCUCUCCAAAGGGUGAACUUGUGCACGUUGUUGCGGUUGGAACAAGAAAGUGUUGAGGAGUUAAGCAUUUGAGAUUGAGCGGCGAUGGGCGUGGAGGAUGUUGAGCAGAGUUCAUGGAUUGUUCUGUCAUGAUUAAUAAUGUUGGAUUUGUCGUGUCUUCAUACUCGGCAUUUUCCGUGUCUUGAACGCUUCCGCUAAGAGUCCUUUUCAUUAGAAUUGUUUAUUCGUGGAGAGUCUAACUCGUUUAAAAAUUGUUUAUUUUCUAUUCUUUAUUUACUUAGAGUUGGUAUUAUUGUUAGGAUAAUAUUAUGACGUUUUCAAAGUUAAUUCAGUUAUUAAAUUUUUGGU